AUGGAUACAAGAUCUGAAGGAGAUAGAACUGACCAUCUGCAUUCAGCUGAUGUCCCAAGUGAUGCCAAUGCCAAAGGUCCGUUCGAUGACCGUGUUUCUGAUCCACGGAGAAGCAAAGAAAGGGAGAAAGAAAGGGAGAAAGAAGAGGAGAUAUGGAAAUAUUGUGGGGGGCUGCCUUUGGCCAUAGUCACCAUGGCUGGCCUUGUGGCCUGCAACCCAACAAAAGACAAUGACCAUUGGCGUAAAGUUUGCAAGUCAUUAUUUCCAGAGCAAGUAGCUCCCCUUACAUUGGAGGGGGUGACAAGGAUACUUGAUUAUUGCUACAAUGAUUUGCCAGCAGAUCUCAAGACCUGCUCAUUGUACUUGAGCAUAUUCCGCAAGGGCUCAAAAAUUAGUAAGAAGCGUCUGACCCGACAGUGGAUAUCAGAAUGUUUUGUUGCUGAGAAGCAAGGGCUGAGUGCGGAGGAAGUGGCAGAAACAUACUUCAAUCAGCUUCUAAGCAGGAAGAUAAUACACCCUGUGGAUCACAGCAGCAACGGGAAGGUAAAAUCCUUUAAAGUUCAUGACAUGAUCCUGGAAUAUAUCGUGUCCAAGUCAAGCGAAGAGAAUUUUAUUACUGUUGUUCGUGGACAUUGGUUGAUGCCAACUCCUAGCAACAAAGUCCGUCGACUCUCCAUGCAAAGCAGUGGUUCCAAACAUGGGAAUUCAACAAAAGGCAUGAACUUGUCUCAAGUGCGGUCACUGACAGCAUUUGGAAGCCAAAACCGACGACUCCCAUUCCGUUCGUUCAAUAAUGGAAUAAUACAAGUGCUUGAUCUUGAGUGCUGGAAGGGUUUGACAGAUAAGCAUAUGAAUGACAUAUGUAAAAUGCUUGUGCUGAAGUAUUUGAGCCUCCGACGAACAGAGGUUUCUGAGAUUCCAUCAAAGAUCGAGAAGCUCCAGUAUCUAGAAACUUUUGACAUAAGGGAGACAAAUGUCGGGGUGCUGCCAAAAGCUUUUGGACAGCUCAAACAACUUCGUAGCAUGCUUGGAGGGAACAAAAACACAAAGAAGGCUUUGAAGUUGCCACAUGAGAAGAACAAGGAGCUGAUGAAAGCACUUCGGAUCUUGUCAGGGCUUGAGAUCGGUGAGGACUCAUCAGCUGUAGCAAGCCUUCAUCAGCUGACAGGGCUAAGGAAGCUUGCCAUUUACAAGCUCAAUAUAAGGGAGGGUGGUCAGACCUUCAAACAAUUACGCUCCUCCAUUGAGUACAUCUGUAGCUGCGGUCUGCAGACAUUGGCAAUCAAUGAUGAGAGCUCUAAUUUUAUCAACUCACUAGACACCAUGACCACUCCUCCAAGAUACAUCAUCGGCCUAGAGUUGUCUGGCAAGAUGGAAAGGCCUCCACAGUGGAUCAGAGAACUCAAUAACCUCUAUAAGCUGACCCUUUAUGUGACAGUUCUUCGGACUGAUACUUUCAAGCUCAUCCAGGACCUACCCAAAUUGUUUACGCUCACCUUUACACUCAGUGCAGCCAAGGAUGAUAGGGACAUAGUGGACAUUCUUGAGGAAAAUAAACAGCUUACCGAUAGGGAGAUCAUUAUUCCACCUGGAGGAUUCAAGAGUCUAAAGCUGCUUCGCUUCUUUGCAACUAUGGUGCCAAGGCUGAGCUUUGCAGUUACAGGAAAAGAGGUAAUGCCACCACUGGAGAGGAUUGAUAUGCGGUUCGAAGCCUUUGAAGGGAUUUACGGCAUCGAGACUCUCGAAAGCCUCCAAGAGGUGCACCUCAGUGUUGGUAAUCAAGCAGAUGAAAUAACCAAGUUCUUGGUAGAUGAUUGA
This 1818-nucleotide ribosomal RNA is filed under the name Triticum aestivum (bread wheat). Its description in RNAcentral is "partial small subunit ribosomal RNA". Lineage: Eukaryota; Viridiplantae; Streptophyta; Magnoliopsida; Poales; Poaceae. The record is from RNAcentral.